This 211-nucleotide ribosomal RNA is filed under the name uncultured bacterium. RNAcentral describes it as "partial 16S ribosomal RNA". It matches the Rfam family "Bacterial small subunit ribosomal RNA", at positions 524 to 730 of the family's 1533-position model. The record is from RNAcentral.
GACGUAGGGCGCGAGCGUUGUCCGGAUUUAUUGGGCGUAAAGAGCUCGUAGGCGGCUUGUCGCGUCGAAUGUGAAAACCCACGGCUCAACUGUGGGCUUGCAUUCGAUACGGGCAGGCUAGAGUUCGGUAGGGGGAGACUGGAAUUCCUGGUGUAGCGGUGAAAUGCGCAGAUAUCAGGAGGAACACCGGUGGGCGGAAGGCGGGGUCUCU